CGUAGGGUGCAAGCGUUAAUCGGAAUUACUGGGCGUAAAGCGUGCGCAGGCGGUUAUGCAAGACAGAUGUGAAAUCCCCGGGCUCAACCUGGGAACUGCAUUUGUGACUGCAUGGCUAGAGUACGGUAGAGGGGGAUGGAAUUCCGCGUGUAGCAGUGAAAUGCGUAGAUAUGCGGAGGAACACCGAUGGCGAAGGCAAUCCCCUGGACCUGUACUGACGCUCAUGCACGAAAGCGUGGGGAGCAGACAGGAUUAGAUACCCUGGUAGUCCACGCCCUAAACGAUGUCAACUGGUUGUUGGGAGGGUUUCUUCUCAGUAACGUAGCUAACGCGUGAAGUUGACCGCCUGGGGAGUACGGCCGCAAGGUUG
This 370-nucleotide ribosomal RNA is filed under the name uncultured organism. RNAcentral's name for it is "bacterial SSU rRNA". It matches the Rfam family "Bacterial small subunit ribosomal RNA", at positions 526 to 896 of the family's 1533-position model. The record is from RNAcentral.